Long non-coding RNA from Lemur catta (Ring-tailed lemur), 381 nucleotides. RefSeq lists it as uncharacterized. NCBI's taxonomy places the organism in Eukaryota, Metazoa, Chordata, Mammalia, Primates, Lemuridae. The record is from RefSeq and is a predicted model, not a curated record. The transcript is spliced from 3 exons.
GUUGCCAAGGUGAUGAGCGAAGGCGCUUCUCGCGUCGCAGCUCCCACAGAGCGCGCUGCGUUACACCAGGCCGGCCGCCAGAGUCCGGGAGAAGGGACUUGGGGCUGGCCAGCACGCCGGGCCAGGAGCCGUACUCCGGCGUCUCGCGGUUAGGAAUCACUGCCUCCACCACCAAAUAUGGUCCCCAACAAAUUAGAAGACCUGGCUGGUAGACAGGGUGGCUCCAGUCAGGCCAUGGCCAGAAAGGCCCCAUGGAGGACCAGUCCUGGUGGAAAGUUAAGUCUGAUCCCUGAUACUCCAUCUUUGCUGAAAGCAGAAGGUUUCCAGUUUAUAUUUGUGAUUUCUUUUUUAAAAUUUUCAAUGAAUUAGAAUGACAGAGUA